RNAcentral lists this unclassified non-coding RNA (213 nucleotides) under uncultured Russula. RNAcentral describes it as "sequence contains ITS1". Lineage: Eukaryota; Fungi; Basidiomycota; Agaricomycetes; Russulales; Russulaceae. The record is from RNAcentral.
UUGUAUAACGGAGAUGCCUAGGGCUGUCGCUGACCUUCAUGGGUCGUGCACGCCCAAGGCUGCUCUCUCAUAUCCAUCUCACCCCUUUGUGCAUCACCGCGUGUGCUCCCCUAUCGGGUUUGUUCCGAGGGGUGGUUCACGUUUUUACACAGACACCAAUUUUUAAAAGCAUGUGUAGAAUGUCUUACUUUUUGCGAUCACACGCAAUCAAUA